Molecule: long non-coding RNA, 1522 nt
Filed under: Callithrix jacchus (white-tufted-ear marmoset)
Lineage: Eukaryota; Metazoa; Chordata; Mammalia; Primates; Cebidae
Description: lncRNA (ENSCJAG00000082895.1)
Source: RNAcentral
GCUCUAACCGUGGUUACAUUUCAGAAUAUUUUCAAAAUCUCCUUGUUGAUUUACAGUGCAGAAUAUGUGUGAUAUAAUGCAGCUGGGUUCCUGUGGCUUCUCCAAGCCUCAGUAUCCUAAUCGUUAAAAGGGGGAUGAUAAUAUUUUCUAGAAGAUUGUUGAAAGAGCAGGUACAUUGUUGGGUCAACAAGAAAUAUGACUUUGCCUCCUAUAAAAUGCCAGAUUUUCAUUCUGAAUGUAAGUCUUGAUUUAAGGGUUGUCUUCCCUGGCUGACAUACUUGAUACUUAUAGAACUGACAGCCACAUAGGUAUUUUGGCAGAAAUACAAAAGGAGACCCAUCCCAUCUCCUCCCUGACAGUAUUUAGCUGAUGAGUUUUUGCUUCUUGCUGCCCGUAUUUCUGCUUCAGUUUCUUUCAGUUUCUCCCUGUUGCAUGGUGUAAACUGGCAUCUCAUGCGGAAAAAGAGGGUUCAGAUUACCCUAGGGAAGUGUAAUGCAGAGGAAUCUCUAUCAGCAUGAAACCAGGGUGGGCACCAACGUGAAAACCUUCGAAUCAGAGCUUCCCUUCUCUGCUACAACGCCUCUCUCUCGGAGUUGCCUGAGACGGGAGCUGGACUGCAUGGCUUGACCUAGGAGGCAUGUUCAGGCUGGAAGAGACUGAGAGGCAGAACCAGUUCCUGAUCCAGGGAUUGCACCUAAAAUGUCCUGCAUCUAGUUAUAUGUAAUGAAAUACUGGACUCUCAGAAGAGGCACAGAAUGUCAUCCUAAAUACAGAAUCCUAUGCUGCUACAUUGAAGAGGAAGAACUUCAAGGUUUACCAGAAUCAAAUUGCUUAGGCUUUUGCAGAUUGAUAAUAUGACACCUGGAAAUAAUUAUGGGGGAAGAAAAAUGAAAAGUGCCAGACAAGUCCUCCCAAAUAAAUCUACUCAACAGAUUUCCAUUCUGGACUGACAUUCUCUCUAUGGCAUUUCAAUCAAUUCCACUAAAGGAAGCCCACUUAUCUGUAUGUUAAAUGUGCUAAUUCACUGGGUGGAGUAUUGGUCAUGCCAAUACUCUUCUAGUUCCUUUAAGGUCAGGGCCUAUAAUAUACCUUGACACCUGUUCCCUAGCUCAAGAAGGACAGGGAGCCAUAAGAAAAAACAACAGUGAAGGGAAAGGAAGAAAAUAGCAUCUCCUAUUAGGUUUGCUAUAUCACACGGCCUGUAUAGAAGACCAGUGGGUCAAAGGGCAGCUGAAAAACUCACUAAUAAGGGCACAAAGGGUUUGUUUAUCUUAUAGAGUAAUUCCUGUAUAUCUUAUGUAUCUUUCACUUGUGCCAGUCAUUUACAUAGAAUACCUUUAUCUAUGAGUUAGAGUAUUCUUACUCCUCAAUGUUGGCAAACGGCAAGGUAGCUUCAGGGUAAAAGAGAGCAAAGGUAUAUCAUCUUCUGAUUCCCUAGAUUCCUAGUGGAAGCAUUUUCUUUGUUAUUCUCUGAACAAAAGAUAAAGAGGAGGCUGGACUUUCAGGUACUUGUGAAAAUGCU